This 1172-nucleotide ribosomal RNA is filed under the name Coxiella-like endosymbiont of Rhipicephalus sanguineus complex. RNAcentral's name for it is "bacterial SSU rRNA". It matches the Rfam family "Bacterial small subunit ribosomal RNA", at positions 211 to 1375 of the family's 1533-position model. Lineage: Bacteria; Pseudomonadati; Pseudomonadota; Gammaproteobacteria; Legionellales; Coxiellaceae. The record is from RNAcentral.
CCUCGUGCUAUGAGAUGAGCCUGCGUCGGAUUAGCUAGUUGGUAGGGUAAUGGCCUACCAAGGCGACGAUCCGUAGCUGGUCUGAGAGGACGAUCAGCCACACUGGGACUGAGACACGGCCCAGACUCCUACGGGAGGCAGCAGUGGGGAAUAUUGGACAAUGGGGGAAACCCUGAUCCAGCAAUGCCGCGUGUGUGAAGAAGGCCUUCGGGUUGUAAAGCACUUUCAGUGGGGAAGAAAUUCUCAAGGCUAAUACCCUUUUGAGCGUUGACGUUACCCACAGAAGAAGCACUGGCUAACUCUGUGCCAGCAGCCGCGGUAAUACAGAGAGUGCAAGCGUUAAUCGGAAUCACUGGGCGUAAAGCGCGCGUAGGUGGAUAUUUAAGUCGGAUGUGAAAGCCCUAGGCUUAACCUGGGAAUUACAUCCGAUACUAGGUAUCUCGAGUAUGAUAGAGGGAAGUGGAAUUUCCGGUGUAGCGGUGAAAUGCGUAGAUAUCGGAAAGAACAUCAGUGGCGAAGGCGGCUUCCUGGAGCAAUACUGACACUGAGGCGCGAAAGCGUGGGGAGCAAACAGGAUUAGAGACCCUGGUAGUCCACGCCGUCAACGAUGAGAACUAGCUGUUGGAAAGUUUAAUUUCUAGUAGCAAAGCUAACGCGUUAAGUUCUCCGCCUGGGGAGUACGGCCGCAAGGUUAAAACUCAAAGAAAUUGACGGGGGCCCGCACAAGCGGUGGAGCAUGUGGUUUAAUUCGAUGCAACGCGAAAAACCUUACCUACCCUUGACAUCCUCGGAACUUGUCAGAAAUGACUUGGUGCCUUUGGGAACCGAGUGACAGGUGCUGCAUGGCUGUCGUCAGCUCGUGUCGUGAGAUGUUGGGUUAAGUCCCGUAACGAGCGCAACCCUCGUCCUUAGUUGCCAGCGGUUCGGCCGGGAACUCUAAGGAGACUGCCGGUGAUAAACCGGAGGAAGGUGAGGAUGAUGUCAAGUCAUCAUGGCCCUUACGGGUAGGGCUACACACGUGCUACAAUGGGCAGUACAAAGGGUUGCCAAACCGUGAGGUAAAGCUAAUCCCAAAAAGCUGCUCGUAGUCCGGAUUGGAGUCUGCAACUCGACUCCAUGAAGUUGGAAUCGCUAGUAAUCGCGAAUCAGAAUGUCGCGGUGAAUACGUUCUC